This 460-nucleotide ribosomal RNA is filed under the name uncultured bacterium. Its description in RNAcentral is "partial 16S ribosomal RNA". It matches the Rfam family "Bacterial small subunit ribosomal RNA", at positions 338 to 795 of the family's 1533-position model. The record is from RNAcentral.
CCUACGGGUGGCAGCAGUGAGGAAUAUUGGUCAAUGGACGAGAGUCUGAACCAGCCAAGUAGCGUGAAGGAUGACUGCCCUAUGGGUUGUAAACUUCUUUUAUAUGGGAAUAAAAUGUUCCACGUGUGGGAUUUUGUAUGUACCCUAUGAAUAAGGAUCGGCUAACUCCGUGCCAGCAGCCGCGGUAAUCCGGAGGAUCCGAGCGUUAUCCGGAUUUAUUGGGUUUAACGGGGGCGUAGGUGGAUUGUUAAGUCCGUUGUGAAAGUUUGCGGCUCAACCGUUAAAUUGCAGUUGAAACUGGCAGUCUGGAGUACAGUAGAGGUGGGCAGAAUUCGUGGUGUAGCGGUGAAAUGCUUAGAUAUCACGAAGAACUCCGAUUGCGAAGGCAGCUCACUGGACUGCAACUGACACUGAGGCUCGAAAGUGUGGGUAUCAAACAGGAUUAGAUACCCCUGUAGUC